AGCAAUCUCUUGAGUGAUGUUCAAUAGAAAUAAACCCCCACUAAGAUAACCCUUCCCAAAAAAGACUCCCCCACGAGAAAUAACAACUUUGUCACAUUUAAAAAUAAGUUUAAGACCUACCUUGUUGAGAAGCUCACCAAAAACUAAGUUUCUACAAAGGGAGGGUACAUAUAGAAUAUUGUUUAUAACUAAAGUUUUUCCAGAAGUUAAUUUAAGAAGAGUUUUUCCUUUACCCAUAAUUCCAGCUGCAGUGGAUCUACCCAUGUAGACACACUCACCAUCAGCAGAUUCCUCAAAGUCGUGAAACAGUCUUUGUUGGCACAAUGGUGCCUUGAAGUCCUUGUGUCCACUAUCCAGUCAAUUUUGUUAGCCAACAUGUUUGCCUCAACAACCACAACAGCAAUGACAUCAACACCAUCAGUAAGGUUGGCUUGGGAUGGAGCUUUUCCUCAAUUCUUUGAGCUUUGUCCUUGUCUCUGGUUGCACUGAAAAGCCUUGUGACCAAUUUUUUCGCAGACAUAGCAAGGUCCUUUUGACUUUUGAAUAUGGCCCUCCGACUUAUGAAGUAAUUAUGCUUCUUUACAUGUCUUUUCUUUUUGCCUUUCUUUUAUUUUCCUUUAAACCUGUUCACAAAAGUACUAGAAGAUUCCACAAGGUUAGCUUUAGAAGAAUUAAGAGAGAGAGAGAGANNNNNNNNNNNNNNNNNNNNNNNNNNNNNNNNNNNNNNNNNNNNNNNNNNNNNNNNNNNNNNNNNNNCAAGGUUAGCUUUAGAAGAAUUACGAGAGAGAGAGAGAGAGAGAGAGAGAGAGAGAGAGAUUUUAUCUUAUCCUUAAGCCGUUCAGAUUCCUCAUCUUUGAGAAGGUUUGCUUCCUCAGUCCUCAUGUGACUGAUUAGUUCUUGAAGAGUUAAGUUUUUCUUCUUGUGUUUUAGUUGAUUCCUGUAAUCACUCCAGGAAUGUGCAAACUUUUCUCGCAAAACAUUAGCCUGAAGAAUGUCACACAUCUCCAUGCCCUCGUUCAAAACAUCAGCAGCCAAGUUCUCAUACUCAUGAACAUAUUCCAUGAUUGACUUAUCAUCAACCAUCUGAAACUUGAUCCACUUUCCAACGACAUACUUCUUUUUUCAGCGUCAUCAGCACUAUAUUUCUUCUCCAAACUGUCUCAUAUGACAUAUAAACAAAUUAAAGAGACGGUUAGUCAUAUGAUUAAGCAGAUGCUCUCUCACUGUUUUAUUAUCCUUUUCAAAUUUAUUCGUAGUAGCAUCAUCAACAAUAAUAAUAUUAGCAACAUUAGAACUAUCAGCAACAAUAUCAGCAGGAGGUUCAUUAAACAAAACAUAAUCAACUUCUAAUUGUUCAAAAAAAAACUAAAAGUUUUUGGGACCAACACUUAUAAUUAUCUCCAUCAAAAGGCUCAAGCUUUGAGAGAUCGGGAAGUUAUUUAUUCAAAUUGGUAGCCAUUAGUCAAUAUUAUAUGUAAAAGCGCUUUUAAAUUGUAAGAAAAAUAAGCAGAUAAUAUUGAUUAGGAACAAGAAGGAAAGAUGAACAACUUAUCAAAAAUACUGUAUCGUGGCAUUCCACUGGCUUUAAAGCGAUUUCGGCCCGACUAGGUGCAAAUCGUUAAGGUUGGUCGCUCUCCUAGGUUCCACAACACCUCCAAACACGUGAACUCAUGGCUGGAAGUUAGAAUUUGCACAAAACAGUUUCCCAGAAAGAAGAGAAGAUGAAGGUAUUUUCUGUAGUUAUUACAGAAAUUAAAGAAUAUUGCAGGUAGAAAAGUAAUGAUUAGCAAGAUAGAUUCUUGGUUAAGAUUGUGUGAUUAUGAUGCCUAACCCAUAACCUAUUUAUAGGCAAUUAAGGAGGUUGCAUGUAUGACAAAUGUCGAGAGUCACACUUGUCCCGUUAUAUUAGUACACUUGGCUCCAAUAUUGACAAGUGUAUCUUGUCUUCCAUGCAUGAAGACAUAAUGGUAGAUUUGCGUAGCCAUUUGUCAAGGCC
Molecule: long non-coding RNA, 1996 nt
Filed under: Nicotiana benthamiana
Lineage: Eukaryota; Viridiplantae; Streptophyta; Magnoliopsida; Solanales; Solanaceae
Description: long non-coding RNA (NBEN_LNC006709)
Source: RNAcentral